RNAcentral lists this unclassified non-coding RNA (312 nucleotides) under Hevea brasiliensis (rubber tree). The record is from RNAcentral. Lineage: Eukaryota; Viridiplantae; Streptophyta; Magnoliopsida; Malpighiales; Euphorbiaceae.
GCGGCUGGCUUUGACCCACUGGUAAAUUUUCCUGCACCUCCUUGCCUUCCCAUUUUCCCCUCCACCCCACCACACCCCCACGCGGCCCCCCCUCCCCCCGCGAGAGUUCCCCGAACAAAAGGGAAAAAAGAUUAGAAAGGAGAAAGCAAAAUUCAGAUGUUGUGUGCUUAUGAGUCAACUUUUUUUAGUUGUGGUCUGCUUGUUUCCCUAUAUGCUUGUUGGCAAUAAUUGUUGGGAUUACUAUUUUGCAUGCUAUGUGUUGUUCCUAAUACAUCACUAAUGCCCGUGUUUUGCUGUGUGCUUGUUCUUCAG